ACGACAUGGCUAUCGGUGACUAUCCGGCAGAAUAUAAUCCAAAGGUCCAUGGACCCUAUGACCCGGCUCGUUUCUACGGAAAGCCCGAUACUCCGUU
Molecule: non-coding RNA, 97 nt
Organism: Anopheles christyi
Lineage: Eukaryota; Metazoa; Arthropoda; Insecta; Diptera; Culicidae
Source: Rfam